GAUCUGGUAGCUCAGUUGGUAGAGCACGACACUUUUAAUGUUGGGGUCCUGGGUUCGAGCCCCAGCCGGAUCAC
Molecule: transfer RNA, 74 nt
Filed under: Flavobacteriia bacterium
Lineage: Bacteria; Pseudomonadati; Bacteroidota; Flavobacteriia
Description: tRNA-Lys(ttt)
Rfam family: tRNA
About the family: Transfer RNA (tRNA) molecules are approximately 80 nucleotides in length. Their secondary structure includes four short double-helical elements and three loops (D, anti-codon, and T loops).
Source: RNAcentral